This 269-nucleotide ribosomal RNA is filed under the name uncultured bacterium. RNAcentral describes it as "partial 16S ribosomal RNA". It matches the Rfam family "Bacterial small subunit ribosomal RNA", at positions 524 to 789 of the family's 1533-position model. The record is from RNAcentral.
UACGGAGGGUGCGAGCGUUGUCCGGAAUCACUGGGCGUAAAGGGCGCGUAGGUGGCGCGGGAAGUCAACGGUGAAAGUUCGGGGCUCAACCCUGAAUCGGCCGUCGAUACUCCCGGGCUCGAAGCACUGUAGAGGCAGAUGGAAUUCCGGGUGUAGCGGUGGAAUGCGUAGAGAAUCCGGAAGAACACCGGUGGCGAAGGCGGUCUGCUGGGCAGUUGCUGACACUGAUGCGCGACAGCGUGGGGAGCAAACAGGAUUAGAGUACCCUA